ACGAACGCUGGCGGCAUGCCUAACACAUGCAAGUCGAACGGGCUGUAGCAAUACAGCCAGUGGCGAACGGGUGAAUAACGCGUGGGAACCUGCCUCGGAGUUCGGAAUAACCGCGGGAAACUGCGGCUAAUACCGGAUACGGCCUGAGGGCGAAAGGAGCAAUCCGCUCCGGGAGGGGCCCGCGUCCGAUUAGCUAGUUGGUGGGGUAACGGCCUACCAAGGCGAUGAUCGGUAGCUGGUCUGAGAGGAUGAUCAGCCACACUGGAACUGCGACACGGCCCAGACUCCUACGGGAGGCAGCAGUGGGGAAUCUUGCGCAAUGGGCGAAAGCCUGACGCAGCGACGCCGCGUGAGGGAUGACGGCCUUCGGGUU
Molecule: ribosomal RNA, 373 nt
Filed under: uncultured bacterium
Lineage: Bacteria
Description: bacterial SSU rRNA
Rfam family: Bacterial small subunit ribosomal RNA
Source: RNAcentral